This 424-nucleotide ribosomal RNA is filed under the name uncultured Acetivibrio sp. Its description in RNAcentral is "bacterial SSU rRNA". It matches the Rfam family "Bacterial small subunit ribosomal RNA", at positions 355 to 794 of the family's 1533-position model. Lineage: Bacteria; Bacillati; Bacillota; Clostridia; Acetivibrionales; Acetivibrionaceae. The record is from RNAcentral.
UCGGGAAUAUUGCGGCAAUGGAGGAAACUCUGACGCAGUGACGCCGCGUGCAGGAAGAAGGUUUUCGGAUUGUAAACUGCUUUAGACAGGGAAGAAACAAGACAGUACCUGUAGAAUAAGCUCCGGCUAACUACGUGCCAGCAGCCGCGGUAAUACGUAGGGAGCAAGCGUUAUCCGGAUUUAUUGGGUGUAAAGGGUGCGUAGACGGGAAGACAAGUUGGUUGUGAAAUCCCUCGGCUUAACUGAGGAACUGCAACCAAAACUAUCUUUCUUGAGUACUGGAGAGGAAAGUGGAAUUCCUAGUGUAGCGGUGAAAUGCGUAGAUAUUAGGAGGAACACCAGUGGCGAAGGCGACUUUCUGGACAGAAACUGACGUUGAGGCACGAAAGUGUGGGGAGCAAACAGGAUUAGAUACCCUGGUAGU